This 257-nucleotide non-coding RNA is filed under the name Novacetimonas hansenii. The record is from RNAcentral. Lineage: Bacteria; Pseudomonadati; Pseudomonadota; Alphaproteobacteria; Acetobacterales; Acetobacteraceae.
UGUAAAAGCCCGCAUGAUGGUUCCCGUAAGGGAAGAAACAGGGAAGCACGGUGCGUGGCGCGGCAUGUUGCCGCCCGCAAUGCCGUCACUGCCCCCGCAACUGUAGGUGGUCUCAAACAUCCGGCAGGCCGUCCCUUUACAAAAGGGUGCGGCACGUCACUGGCCAGUCUGGCCGGGAAGGCGCCGGAUGCGGCGGCAGGGACACUGUCCAUGCCCCGGCCACAAGUCAGGAGACCUGCCAUCAUCGUCAUGUCCCA